ACAAAAUGAGAAGGCAAAUGUCACUGUAAAUCUCACUGCCUCUCAGCCACUCGGCUGCCAAAGGGCGGGCGGCCGGGCCAGCCGGGUCGGGGCCACGUUUCUAGGCGCGAGUGUGGUUAGCGCUCCCGGCGGCGAGCCCCUCGGGGACGGCGCACGUGUGUGGGAGCCCCGAUCACCCGGCAGCGGCCAGCUGACGCCACUCGCCGCGGCUCGGACACCGAACGCGCCAGUGGGAGCCGCGACCAGCCGGGACCGCAAACCCUCCGAUCGCGUGGCCAGACGUGGUGACAGAUCUGCAAGUUCAGUCAUUCCUGACUCAUCUCCUUUCGGAUCCUUUCAACCAGGGGAAGAUCAGGACUCUGAGAGAAUGUCACGUACAGCUAUGGUGACUAAUUUAUCAUCCAAACUGGGAUACUUUUUGAGUGACAAGGGGCAUCUGUGAGAAUUCCACCAGGACAGAAAAAGAUUUGGUCACUACCACGGCCAGCUAACUGAUAACAUCAAAUGAGCCCUAACUUCCUGACUCAGAGCCUUGGAAUGCAGUUGUGAAUCAUCACUUCUCUGUGUUGCUGCCUGAUUAUUGCAAUAGGAGGAAAAAUGAACAUGACCCGUGCAUAAGAAAAGACCUUAUCUGUGAUUCUUGAGGGUAGAACAGAUGAUACUUCUUUGAGCCCCAUCUUGGUACCUCCACAAAGCCAACAGUCCAGUCAUGAGGGAAUAAUGAUGCCCCCAUUUUGGACAGAAUGGAACAAAUGAUUCUUCACUUGGAUGGAAGUAAACACACAGGCACCUUCUUAAAGAGAUGGAGCAAAGAUAAACCUCGGAUGGUGGAGCCGUAAUUACAGUCUGCGUGUCCUGGUUUGGUACUAAAGACGGGGCUGGAUCAGCAGUGGAAAGUUUGGAUGACACUCCGACACCUGGAGUAGGAUGGCCCGGAGAGCAGCCACUCUGGGAGCUGCAUGUAUUCCUAGCCCUGAAGGAAAGGCAGCCUCCAAAUUGCUUCAGCUCCUCAUCUCCUAACCUGGAGGUGCCUCACUCCCUUCCCUCCUCCACACUCAAGCACUCUUUCUUGUUCCUAAGAGAAAGGCUUAGACGUGACUCAUUUUGUAGCCUUUCUGCUCUCAGGGCACCUUGAGGUCCCCUGGAAAUGAAAGGAUUGGAAGCAACCAGCUUACUUUUCCUCGAGUGCCCAAACACUAAGGGGAAAUCCACACUGGGGAGACACUCUCUCCGGCUUUGUCAGAUACAAAAGGACAGAGCAGUAAAUGCACCCCUUCUCCCCUCGCUGGGCCCCUACUGGGCUCAUUCUUGAGUGUUUGUCCCAUUCUUAGCAACAAAGCCAGUUUCUCCAAGGGUCAAAUCUUGUGGUUUUAUUUUCUGGCUUUGCUCCACUGUUUUCUGGGACGGCCCUAAUCCCUGGGCCUCAGCAUCCCCACCUUGUAAUUAAAUGGGUUACACUCAGCUGAUCAUAGAUGGGGAAGAUUGUGUACUUGCAGCCUUCCAGUGUGACUCCCUCAUUGUGCAGAUAAGGAGAUUGAGGCUCAGAGAAGGGAAGUGGCUUGGCAGGGGUCACCCAGGGGUUGUGUGUUAAGUUUCUGUGUGUCUUUUCUUAUUUUAAAAAAAUAUUUAUUUAUUGGUUGCACUGGGUCUUAGUUGGGGCACGUGGAAUCUAGUUGCCAGACCCCUGGAUUGGGAGCAUGGAGUCCUAGCCACUGGACCACAGGGAAGUCCAGUUUCUGUGUAUCUUUGUCCUGUCUCCUCAGUAACUCCAUGGCAGGGGCUAUGUUUUGCCUGCUUUUUGAGUCCCUUCAGGGACCCAGGUCCAGAGUAGGGUUUGUAGACACUGGCUGAUUUGGGAGGACUGAUGGAUGGAACACCAGACUGGUUGGAGAAAAGUUGUCAAGAGUGAGCAAGGCUGUGAAGCUGGCCUAUGGAGGCAAGCGUGGUGGGGGCUUCGGGGAGCCGCUCACCAGCUAGGUGAUGGUGGACAAGUUUCUUGACUUUUCUAAACCUCUGUUUUUUCAACUAUGAAAUGCAGAUAAUACUUCUUACACCACGUGGUUGGAAGAGUUAAUAAGAUUUAAUAAGCCUGAUACACUCAAUUGUCCUUGUUUAGUCACACUCAGUUGUUGUGGUUUAUUGCUAAGCCAGGGGCUUCCCAGGCGAUGCUAGUGGUAAAGAACCUGCCUGCCAAUGCAAGAGAUGUAAGAGAUGCAGGUUUGAUCCCUGGGUCAGGAAGAUGCCCUGGAGAAGGAAAUGGCAACCCACUCCAGUAUUCUAGCCUGGAGAAUCCCAUGGACAGAGCAGGCUGGUGGGCUACAGUCCAUGGGGUCACAAAGUAACUGAAGAGACUUAGCACAAAUGUGUCGCUAAGCUAUGUUGACUCUCUGUGACCCAGUGGACUGUAGUCUGCCAGGCUCCUCUGUCCGUGGGAUUCUCCAGGCAAGAAUACUGGAGUGGGUUGCCAUUUCCACCUUCAGGGGAUCUUCCUGACCCAAGGAUUGAACCUGUGUCUCCUGCAACGGCAGGCAGAUUCUUUAUCCCGGAGCCACCAGGGAAGCGGAGAAAUGGAAUAAUUCCUGCUAAAUCAGUACAUGAAGUAUGUAACAGUCAUCAGCAAUUGCAGCCACCAUGGAAGGUGAGCUGGUGAGCCCAGAAGGAACUCAGAAAGGAAAGAAUACCCGCCAUCUAGCAGUCAUCAGACUGCAGCCACAGAGAGCCCCAAGGAAGCUUGGGAUUCUGGCCCCAGAUAACUAAGGCACAUUUCAAAAGAAUGAGUUCAAUGAACCCAGACUCUUGCAUCUUCCCAUACAUAGAAAAGCACUCAAUUCCUUAACUCGGGUUAUCUGGUUUUCUUUAACUAGCAAUAAUCUUUUGAUGUUCAGAUUACCUGCCCUUUGUUGCGAAACUUCUAUAUAACUUGGCUCCCCCUCGCCUUCCCCCCUCCAACUCAUUUCCUUCAGCAGUUCUCUCAGGGUUACUUGAGAUGCUGUCUCCUGGGCUUAAGUCAUAAAAAUUCCUACUGAAUAAACAUAACUCUCAACUUUUA
Molecule: long non-coding RNA, 3049 nt
Organism: Bubalus bubalis (water buffalo)
Lineage: Eukaryota; Metazoa; Chordata; Mammalia; Artiodactyla; Bovidae
Exons: 6
Source: RefSeq, a predicted model, not a curated record